UGUGAUUAGUCAGGAUGAUGCCAAGGGAAGCCAGCCGCUGUCUGACUUCACGCCUGUCAAAUCACAGCAUGCGAUCAACGUCAUUCAGAUGAAAUAACGGGAGCUGUUAGCAACUUUAGCUGGUGCAGUUAUGGAGGGUGGAGAUUUGGAGGUUUAGUUAUAAUAAAUAGCUUUAUUAAACUACCACUACAGCAGCAAUUUAAGAUUAAAUCUGAUGGAAGACCAACGCCAAAACUGGAGCUGGCCUGGAGAGGAAAAAGGGGUUUCGGAUGUUUAGUGAGGAAAACUCCAUCCGUACAGAGUGGCUAGCUGGUAGCGCCAAACUUCAGUUGACUCUGUUGCAAUGGGAAAUUCUAUAACUUGGUUAUUGACCACUUCGCCACCAUGACAGACAGGAGAAUGCCCUUCCUUUUCAAAUAGGCUGUUUAUGUCUCCCUGGGAAAGUGGGCGUCACUUCUUCUGCAACAAUGAAGUUGAAAAGACCAUCACCUUGUGUGAUGAUCUGUGGGGAGACGCUUUUCUCCUGCCUGUAGGUGUGUCUGCUCCUCUCUGUUGAGGUGGUGGCAGUAGAAACGAGAGGUCGAGGAGCGCGACAGAGAGGGAGAGCAGCUCAUGCAGCAUCGACAAGCUACUUCUUCGUUGUUGGGACACAGAAAUAUUUGUUCUUCCAGAUGUUUCAGAUUUGAGGAUCUCAACCAAAUGCAUCCAUAGGGCUGUUUUGUAUUAUUCUUUCCGACACUGACCAGUAGUGUUGUAGUACACAAGACCGGUCUUGGUCUCAAGACCACCUUUUGAUGGUCUCGGUCCCCUCUCGGGAUUGACUGCAUUUGUUCUUGUUCUCGACUCUGGAUUAUUUCAAGAGCAGUCAAGACCUGAACUUUGGAAAUAUCAAUAUAUUGCCUGAAUGUUGUCUGAUUUAUUUGUUAAUAUACUAACUUUUGAUGUAAAACGUAUUGCUUCAAAUGCAACCAAUAACGCUAAUUAAAAACGCAGUUGUUACUGUUAA
Micropterus salmoides (largemouth bass) is the source of this 1006-nucleotide long non-coding RNA. RefSeq lists it as uncharacterized. Lineage: Eukaryota; Metazoa; Chordata; Actinopteri; Centrarchiformes; Centrarchidae. The record is from RefSeq and is a predicted model, not a curated record. The transcript is spliced from 2 exons.